RNAcentral lists this ribosomal RNA (257 nucleotides) under uncultured bacterium. RNAcentral describes it as "partial 16S ribosomal RNA". It matches the Rfam family "Bacterial small subunit ribosomal RNA", at positions 526 to 779 of the family's 1533-position model. The record is from RNAcentral.
CGUAGGUCCCGAGCGUUGUCCGGAUUUAUUGGGCGUAAAGACGAGCGCAGGCGGUUCUUUAAGUCUGAAGUUAAAGGACAGUGGCUUAACCAUUGUACGCUUUGGAAACUGGAGGACUUGAGUGCAGAAGGGGAGAGUGGAAUUCCAUGUGUAGCGGUGAAAUAGCGUAGAUAUAUGGAGGAACACCGGUGGCGAAAGCGGCUCUCUGGUCUGUAACUGACGCUGAGGCUCGAAAAGCGUGGGGAGCAAACAGGAUU